AGCACUCCUACGGGAGGCAGCAGUGGGGAAUAUUGCACAAUGGGCGCAAGCCUGAUGCAGCCAUGCCGCGUGUAUGAAGAAGGCCUUCGGGUUGUAAAGUACUUUCAGCAGUGAGGAAGGUGGGUAUGUUAAUAGCAUAUUCAUUUGACGUUAGCUGCAGAAGAAGCACCGGCUAACUCCGUGCCAGCAGCCGCGGUAAUACGGAGGGUGCGAGCGUUAAUCGGAAUUACUGGGCGUAAAGCGCAUGCAGGUGGUUUGUUAAGUCAGAUGUGAAAGCCCCGGGGCUCAACCUCGGAAUUGCAUUUGAAAACUGGCAAACUAGAGUACUGUAGAGGGGGUAGAAUUUCAGGUGUAGCGGUGAAAUGCGUAGAGAUCUGAAGGAAUACCGGUGGCGAAGGCGGCCCCCUGGACAGAUACUGACACUCAGAUGCGAAAGCGUGGGGAGCAAACAGGAUUAGAUACCCUGGUAG
This 470-nucleotide ribosomal RNA is filed under the name uncultured bacterium. Its description in RNAcentral is "bacterial SSU rRNA". It matches the Rfam family "Bacterial small subunit ribosomal RNA", at positions 332 to 793 of the family's 1533-position model. The record is from RNAcentral.